Molecule: ribosomal RNA, 490 nt
Filed under: Diplocentrus mexicanus
Lineage: Eukaryota; Metazoa; Arthropoda; Arachnida; Scorpiones; Diplocentridae
Description: partial 16S ribosomal RNA
Rfam family: Bacterial large subunit ribosomal RNA
Source: RNAcentral
GGUUUUUAGAAAUUAUUAAAAAUCUAACCUGCUCAAUGCUAAGUAAAUAGCCGCGGUAUUUUGACCGUGCAAAGGUAGCAUAAUCAUUAGUCUUAUAAUUGAAGACUGGAAUGAAUGGUUUAACUAAAUUACAUUGUCUUAUAAUAAUAUCUUUAAUUUUAUAUUUUGGUAAAAAAGCUAAAAUAUCUUUUAGGGACAAGAAGACCCUAUUGAGCUUAACAAAUUCAAAGAACAUAUUUUUCAUAAAAUAAUCUUUAUUUGUUCUACUGGGGCAGUAAAAAAAUAAAAAUUUUUGUUUAAAUAUUGUGAACUAUAAUUCUUGUCAAACCAAAAACUUUCUAAAAAAAAAUAAGUUACCGUAGGGAUAACAGCGUAAUUUUUCUUUAGAGAACAUAUCAUCAGAAAAGUUUGCGACCUCGAUGUUGGAUUAAGAAACCUAUUUUACGCAGUAGUAAAAAAAGGAAGUCUGUUCGACUUUUAAUUUCUUCCA